UACGACUACAUAUCAGGCAUAUCAAUAAGCGGAGGAAAAGAAACUAACAAGGAUUCCCUUAGUAACGGCGAGUGAAGCGGGAAGAGCUCAAAUUUGAAAUCUUCAAGGUUUUACCUUGACGAAUUGUAGUUUAAAGAAGUGUUUUCUGUUGAAGUUUUGGUAAAAGUUCUUUGGAAUAGGACAUCAUAGAGGGUGAGAAUCCCGUAUUUGACCAUUAUUUUCAGCUGUGUGAUACACUUUCAAAGAGUCGGAUUGUUUGGGAAUGCAGUCCAAAAUGGGUGGUAAAUUUCAUCUAAAGCUAAAUAUUGGCGAGAGACCGAUAGCGAACAAGUACCGUGAGGGAAAGAUGAAAAGAACUUUGAAAAGAGAGUUAAACAGUACGUGAAAUUGUCAAAAGGGAAGCGUUUGACACCAGUGUUGUUUUCUCGAAAAUCAAUUAAAAAAAGUUGGAUUUUGUGUUGUAUUGACCUUAACAGCUUGCUUCACUCUUUUCCAGCUUUUUUUAAUGCACUUUUCGUUUAACAAGUCAACAUCAGUUUCUUUUGUUGUAAAAGGGUCAUUGGAAGGUGGCUUUCUCUUCGGAGAAAGUGUUUAUAGCCUUUGAUCUCUGCAAUCGGAGAGACUGAGGUCUGCAGCGUAGAUCCCUUCGGGGUUAGAUACAUUUGUGCUAAGCUACAGCUUUUCAUAGACAACUUGUUGACUAUGUUUAGUCUUGUGACUUACCCGCUUAUGCUAUUUUACCUACGCUUAGGAUGUUGAGCGCAUGUCUCUCUCU
RNAcentral lists this ribosomal RNA (775 nucleotides) under uncultured Neocallimastigales. Its description in RNAcentral is "partial large subunit ribosomal RNA". It matches the Rfam family "Eukaryotic large subunit ribosomal RNA", at positions 24 to 616 of the family's 3401-position model. Lineage: Eukaryota; Fungi; Neocallimastigomycota; Neocallimastigomycetes; Neocallimastigales. The record is from RNAcentral.